AACGUACGCUGGCGGCACCCUUAACACAUGCAAGUCGAACGAAGUAGCAAUACUUAGUGGCAGACGGGUGAGUAACAUGUAGGUAUCUACCCUUUGGCCUGGAAUAACACGAGGAAACUUGUGCUAAUACCGGAUAAGUCUUUACGGAGAAAGCUUUAUGCACCAUUGGAUGAGCCUGCACUUGAUUAGUUUGUUGGUAGGGUAAUGGCCUACCAAGACUGUGAUCAAUAGCUGAUUUGAGAGGAUGAUCAGCCACAUUGGGACUGAGACACGGCCCAAACUCCUACGGGAGGCAGCAGUGGGGAAUCUUGCACAAUGGAGGAAACUCUGAUGCAGCGAUGCCGCGUGAGUGAAGAAGGCCCUUGGGUUGUAAAGCUCUUUCGUCGGGGAAGAAAAUGACUGUACCCGAAUAAGAAGGUCCGGCUAACUUCGUG
This 434-nucleotide ribosomal RNA is filed under the name uncultured bacterium. RNAcentral describes it as "bacterial SSU rRNA". It matches the Rfam family "Bacterial small subunit ribosomal RNA", at positions 29 to 507 of the family's 1533-position model. The record is from RNAcentral.